UACGUAGGGGGCUAGCGUUGUCCGGAUUUAUUGGGCGUAAAGAGCGUGUAGGCGGCCAGGUAGGUCUGCUGUGAAAACUCGAGGCUCAACCUCGAGACGUCGGCGGAAACCAUCUGGCUAGAGUCCGGAAGAGGAGAGUGGAAUUCCUGGUGUAGCGGUGAAAUGCGUAGAUAUCUGGAGGAACACCGGUGGCGAAGGCGGCAUCCUGGACCGACACUGACACUGAGGAGCGAAAGCCAGGGGAGCAAACGGG
Molecule: ribosomal RNA, 253 nt
Filed under: uncultured bacterium
Lineage: Bacteria
Description: partial 16S ribosomal RNA
Rfam family: Bacterial small subunit ribosomal RNA
Source: RNAcentral